UGCCGGGCUAGUUUCUGUCCCCAUCAUAACUACCCAUUGCCUACUCCAAGUCUGACCUGACGUCCUCCUGACUGUCAGGUGAUCUCUGGAAAACAUUCUCAGCAGACUAUCAGCUUCCAAAAGCUGUGGCCUUUUCCCUGCUCUGCUGGGACCCACCUGCCUGACGUCCCUGUCAGUUUGUUUGGUCCACCACUGGACACGGGCUCGGCUCAGGAAUUGGGGCUGUCACCUAAAGAAACUCAAAGUGAGCCUUAAUGAACUAUGAAGAAGACUAAAACCCCUAAAGUCAGGGCCUGAAGGCCCGGGAAGCCCAGAAAAGAUCUCAAAUUGUGUUUUUUCAAAAUGGCCAGAGGACUGUGCCCAGGCACCAAGACAAGGUGUUUGCUGAGAACGAGAGUCACCUGGAAGGAACUGGGGGUGACAGGAAGCUGUGCUCAAUUUAAUUCACAGAUUCCAUAAAGACUGACAUGUGAGUGCCCAGAGUGCGGCAUCAGGAAUGGUGGGAUUUGCCUGUGAUUCCAGCACCAGAGAGCUGAUGGCCGAGGAUGGCUCGAGUUCCUUUGGGAAUACGCAGCUAACCAUAGCUGCAGAGUAAGACCGUGCCGAAAAAAGAGGAGGGAAUGGAGAGAAACAUCUCCCUGAAGGCUCUGUAUAUUGGUCUGUCCCCUCCCCCCGAAAUCCCAGAGUCACCCCCAGAGAUGAUGGCAGAGCAGGAAGGGGAAGGCUGGAUCGCCCAGCCCCCACAUCAUCUCUGGGAUCCCAGGCCAGUAUCCAAAUUAGACAGAAACUGAGUCAUCUCAAUUCUCUUAGGGCUUCGCUAUGGGUUUCUGCAGGGGUUACAGUGUGGGCUGCUUUUAGGAACAAUGGCCUCUAGGGGGCAGCAGCACAAAGCAUUUGCCUUUGGCGAGCUCAGCUAUUGUGUCUCGGCCUUGACACCAGUGUUCAGUGAAUGUAAUACUCAGGGAAUAAUACUAGCAUAAAGUUCUCAGCUGUAUCUUCUAGAAGUGCAAGAAAUUCAAAUAGUCCUUUCAAACACACUGCCCCAAAGCCAGCGUGGUGAUGCAUGCCUGUAAUCGCAGAAUUUGGGAGGUGGAGGCAGGUCUGAGAAAUAUGAUCCUGUCUCAAAACACCAAAAUACAAAAAUACAAACAACAACAAAAAAAUAGCAAAGCAGCCCUAUCACAAAAGAGCUGCCCUUGCUCAGAACACUUGAAGAGAGUCGGUGAGCUAGUGCUGUGUGAUAAAACUUCCUGAGGAGGUGUAACACGCAUCUACUCACCCCAGACAGGGCGCCCGUGAGAGACCAGCGUACAGACGCCACCAAAGUCCAGCUUGGUGAGCUAUGAGUUUCACUGGGGGUACUUACAGGAAUAUGGGCGAGGGCUCUAGGCCCAUAUUUCUAUAUGGUAUGGCAGCCAGGCUCUAAAGCCAUAGGCCACACCUGAGAUGGUCACGUAGCCUUCUAGACAGGCUGCUGCUGCCCUUUUAACAAAGGGUCAGGAUGUCCUUUUUGCUCCUUUCUUUGUAAUUUGGAGGAUGCCUGAUAGAGAUGCUGAUUCAAGCCUACGUGCCAGCCAGCAUACAGAGAAGAUAGGUAGAUGUGGACAUGACGAAAAGCCAUUCGCCUGGUUACCUAGGAGACAGAACGCUGGUGUAUUUCCCACUCAGUUUAUGUUUUGGUAUAAAAGCUGUUUGGAGAAUAAACGAGAAGGAAUUCUUCAGGAUGUGGACUCAGGACUUCAGGAGGGACCACUGAGAAUCUCCCUCCCGAUAAAGCCAUGUGAGUUGUGUCUUUAUUCUUGCGCCUCCACUCCAGUCCAGGGAGAUAGUUUAUGUUCGGAUCUGGUUCAGGGAAAUAAUUUAUGGUCCGGGCUAGCACCGGACCCCGACAGAGGGGUUACUUACAGGAGUAGAAACGACUCAAGGGCAGCAGCAUCACCAAAGCCCACCCCAGCGUGGGUGACAGCUCACAAAGAUGGGAACCUGGAGCACACUGCACAGCCUGCAGGCAGCUCAGCAGGUUGGAGGGCAUCCUCUCCACUUUCGGUUGGUAUUACGUCUCUUCUAGGCAGCUCAGGUGGUGUGCUGGUGGAAUCUUCUUUUGAGCUUGGCCCUCUGAGAGCUUUCUCUGCAGCUUGGUUUAUUUGAUGGUCCAUGUGCAGCUCUGUUAGUCUGAGAUGAACUCUCACCUUUUAUUGCUUACUCAGUAAAGGAGGGCCUAGCGAAUCUGGUCAGUUUCAGGGACUUCCUGAAGCCAUUUUGAGUUGUUUAUCUUUCUGUUUAAGGGGCUUCCCUUCAACAUGGAAUGUUUCAAUCCUGAAGGAAACUGUUACACAGCAGAUGGCUCAGAGGGUAAAGUGCCGAAUGUCAAGCCUAAUGUCCCGAGUUCAAUCCCCAGGACCCUGGUGACCUCCAUAUGCGCACCAUGGCACCUGCACAUGCUUGUACACACACACACACACACACACACACACACACUUACACAUGGUAAUAAACUUACGUACCAGAGGGCAUCACACUUAGUGAAAGCCCCAGAUUUGGCCGUCUGUUCACUGAAAGCCAAUGAGAUUAAAACCUGACUCUUCCUGGUCUACCUCCUAAAACUAACAGGACAUAUUAUCCUAGGCUAGUAUGGAGAUGCUUUCCACUAGUCCCAGAAGUCUGGAAGAGGUGGAAGAAAGAUCCAUGGAACCUGGAAGCAUCCAAGCAUCCAACCUGGGCAAUACAGUGAGACUCCACCUCAAAAAACAAAAACAAACAAACAAAAAAAACCCACAAUAAAUUGGAGCCACCAUCAUUUUUGUCCUGAAUGAAAGCAGCCUCUAAAGUAGUCUCAACACAGUCGCCAGACUGAUCCAGUUAGGGUGCAAGCCAGCGCCAGUCCUCUGCUUAGACAGCCACAGAGGCCGUAUCACUCAGUGUACAGCCAUAGUCCUCCCCAGGUCCUCCUUG
This is a long non-coding RNA of Alexandromys fortis (reed vole), 2952 nucleotides long. RefSeq lists it as uncharacterized. The transcript has 3 exons. Lineage: Eukaryota; Metazoa; Chordata; Mammalia; Rodentia; Cricetidae. The record is from RefSeq and is a predicted model, not a curated record.